RNAcentral lists this long non-coding RNA (1220 nucleotides) under Callithrix jacchus (white-tufted-ear marmoset). Its description in RNAcentral is "lncRNA (ENSCJAG00000076050.1)". Lineage: Eukaryota; Metazoa; Chordata; Mammalia; Primates; Cebidae. The record is from RNAcentral.
AUUAUUUUAGAGGCCUACCUGUCUCUGUUCAAUACCAAAUAAAAUGUAGUUUUCAAAUGACUGCCAACAAAUAUGUUUUAGGAAAUACUUGUCAGUAAGCAAAUUUGUCUGUCUCACCUCUCUCAUGGAGGCAUUGGAAUAUGGAAUGGUUAAUAUAGACACUCUUGGUUUCUUCCCUUUGCCUUCUUCCCUAGAAUGGGAGUGAUGCUCUGGUAGUUUUAAUUUUAUUUUUCUUUUGAACUUUAGCCCAAGAUCACUUAGCUGUUCAGAAAUAGAGCUAUGAUUUGAACACAGGCAUCUGCUUCCAAAGUCAAUGUUCCCACCCAAUGUGUUUUGCAGUGCUUCUGAUCUCUGUCAUAUGUUACCUUUUUCAGGUUUUUCCCAGAUCACUCUGGGUGAAAUGGUUCUCACCUCCUUGUACCCCACUUCCCAAGGCUACUUCAUAAAUAGACAGAGUCUCGCUCUUGUACCCCAGGCUGGAGUGCAAUGGCAUGAUCUUGGAUCACUGCAACCACCACUUCCAGGCUUCAAGCUAUUCUCCUGCCUCAGCCAGUGUAUUGAUUCUUGAAGGUAUUUUUUAAAUUUCUUAAUUUUAGUGCUACAAAAAAGUGUUUGGUUUGUAGUACAACUAAUAAGUUAAUAAGAGGUCAAGCUGGAAUUUGAACCUAGGUGGUCUUUUCUAAAUCCUGUAUUCUCUCUCAUAUAUGCUGACCCUCUAAAUAUCCAUUCCUUGAACCCGUCUUGGUUAUAUAUAUAUGUGCAUGUGUUUGUGUGUGCGUGUAAAUAUAUAUACACACACAGAAAUGCCAUGUACUGAGCCCUUGGGUGUGCAAGCACCAUGCCGGGUAUUUUCUACAUUAGAAUAUACGAAAGUACAUAAGGAAUGUGUGUUUAUUUGACCUGCAUUUAAUUGUACAAGAUUGUAAAGCUUUGUUUUCUUUUGUAAGAAGUCAUCAAUGAGUGAAUGGCAUUGUGUGUACACAAACUUUCAGCAGGGUGACAGAUGACAGUGAUUGACUAUGUGGGUGGGUAUUCCAAUGAAUGCUGAAAUGGGAAUGAUGCGUGCAUAAGGCGUGUGAGAGGGAAUGUGGUUGUCUUCGACCAAAGUCAAUUAGUCAAUUGGGUCUACAUUAAGGAUAACAGUGUGGCAGGAUGUGAGGGCACAGCAACUGGAGGCUUGGUUUCCAUUUGGAGGGUAGGGGGAUUCCAUCAGAGUAUAC